CGACCGGCGCAAGGGUGCGUAACGCGUGAGCGACAUGCCCGUGACCGGGGAUAACCGAUGGAAACGUCGCUAACCCCCCAUAUGACGAGGGACCGCAUGAUCCCUUGUUGAAAACCGUGGUGGUCACGGAUUGGCUCGCGUCCCAUUAGCUAGUCGGCGGGGUAACGGCCCACCGAGGCGACGAUGGGUAGGGGUUCUGAGAGGAAGGUCCCCCACAAUGGAACUGAGACACGGUCCAUACUCCUACGGGAGGCAGCAGUGAGGAAUAUUGGUCAAUGGGCGGAAGCCUGAACCAGCCAUGCCGCGUGCGGGACGACGGCCCUACGGGUUGUAAACCGCUUUUGUGUGUGAGCAAUAAGGUGGCUUCGCGCCACCGAUGAGAGUAGCAUACGAAUAAGCAUCGGCUAACUCCGUGCC
RNAcentral lists this ribosomal RNA (417 nucleotides) under uncultured bacterium. RNAcentral's name for it is "bacterial SSU rRNA". It matches the Rfam family "Bacterial small subunit ribosomal RNA", at positions 92 to 509 of the family's 1533-position model. The record is from RNAcentral.